Molecule: ribosomal RNA, 253 nt
Filed under: uncultured bacterium
Lineage: Bacteria
Description: partial 16S ribosomal RNA
Rfam family: Bacterial small subunit ribosomal RNA
Source: RNAcentral
GACAGAGGGGGCAAGCGUUGCUCGGAAUCACUGGGCGUAAAGGGCGCGUAGGCGGGAUGGCAAGUCGGUCGUGAAAUCCCUCGGCUCAACUGAGGGGGGUCGGCCGAUACUGCCGUUCUUGAGGGAUGCAGAGGAGACUGGAAUUCCCGGUGUAGCGGUGAAAUGUGUAGAGAUCGGGAGGAACACCGGUGGCGAAGGCGGGUCUCUGGGCAUUCCCUGACGCUGAGGCGCGAAAGCGUGGGGAGCAAACGGG